This 430-nucleotide ribosomal RNA is filed under the name uncultured bacterium. RNAcentral's name for it is "bacterial SSU rRNA". It matches the Rfam family "Bacterial small subunit ribosomal RNA", at positions 29 to 505 of the family's 1533-position model. The record is from RNAcentral.
ACGAACGCUGGCGGCAUGCCUAACACAUGCAGGUCGAACGAGGGCUUCGGCCCUAGUGGCGCACGGGUGAGUAACGCGUGGGAACCUGCCCUGUGGUACGGAAUAACUCCGGGAAACUGGAGCUAAUAUCGUAUGUGUCUUGAGGGACAAAGAUUUAUCGCCAUGGGAUGGGCCCGCGUAGGAUUAGCUUGUUGGUGGGGUAACGGCCUACCAAGGCAACGAUCCUUAGCUGGUCUGAGAGGAUGAUCAGCCACACUGGGACUGAGACACGGCCCAGACUCCUACGGGAGGCAGCAGUGGGGAAUAUUGGACAAUGGGCGCAAGCCUGAUCCAGCAAUGCCGCGUGAGUGAUGAAGGCCUUCGGGUUGUAAAGCUCUUUCGCACGCGACGAUGAUGACGGUAGCGUGAGAAGAAGCCCCGGCUAACUUCG